UACGUAGGGGGCAAGCGUUGUCCGGAUUUAUUGGGCGUAAAGAGCGUGUAGGCGGCCGUACAGGUCAGCUGAGAAAACUCGAGGCUCAACCUCGAGACGUCGGUUGAAACCGUAAGGCUAGAGUCCGGAAGAGGAGAGUGGAAUUCCCGGUGUAGCGGUGAAAUGCGCAGAUAUCGGGAAGAACACCCGUGGCGAAGGCGGCUCACUGGCCCGUAACUGACGCUCAUGCACGAUAGCGUGGGGAUCAAACAGG
RNAcentral lists this ribosomal RNA (253 nucleotides) under uncultured bacterium. Its description in RNAcentral is "partial 16S ribosomal RNA". It matches the Rfam family "Bacterial small subunit ribosomal RNA", at positions 524 to 776 of the family's 1533-position model. The record is from RNAcentral.